RNAcentral lists this ribosomal RNA (506 nucleotides) under uncultured bacterium. RNAcentral describes it as "partial 16S ribosomal RNA". It matches the Rfam family "Bacterial small subunit ribosomal RNA", at positions 29 to 523 of the family's 1533-position model. The record is from RNAcentral.
AGUGAACGCUGGCGGUAGGCCUAACACAUGCAAGUCGAACGGCAGCACAGAGGAGCUUGCUCCUUGGGUGGCGAGUGGCGGACGGGUGAGGAAUACACCGGAAUCUACUCUGUCGUGGGGGAUAACGUAGGGAAACUUACGCUAAUACCGCAUACGACCUACGGGUGAAAGCAGGGGACCUUCGGGCCUUGCGCGAUUGAAUGAGCCGAUGUCGGAUUAGCUAGUUGGCGGGGUAAAGGCCCACCAAGGCGACGAUCAGUAGCUGGUCUGAGAGGAUGAUCAGCCACACUGGAACUGAGACACGGUCCAGACUCCUACGGGAGGCAGCAGUGGGGAAUAUUGGACAAUGGGCGCAAGCCUGAUCCAGCCAUACCGCGUGGGUGAAGAAGGCCUUCGGGUUGUAAAGCCCUUUUGUUGGGAAAGAAAUCCAGCUGGCUAAUACCCGGUUGGGAUGACGGUACCCAAAGAAUAAGCACCGGCUAACUUCGUGCCAGCCGCCGCGGUAA